CUGUAAGCCGUUGAAGGUGGCCUGUGAGGGUUGCUGGAGGUAUCAGAAGUGCGAAUGCUGACAUAAGUAACGAUAAAGCGGGUGAAAAGCCCGCUCGCCGGAAGACCAAGGGUUCCUGUCCAACGUUAAUCGGGGCAGGGUGAGUCGACCCCUAAGGCGAGGCCGAAAGGCGUAGUCGAUGGGAAACAGGUUAAUAUUCCUGUACUUGGUGUUACUGCGAAGGGGGGACGGAGAAGGCUAUGUUAGCCGGGCGACGGUUGUCCCGGUUUAAGCAUGUAGGCGGAGGU
RNAcentral lists this ribosomal RNA (287 nucleotides) under Enterobacter kobei. RNAcentral describes it as "partial 23S ribosomal RNA". It matches the Rfam family "Bacterial large subunit ribosomal RNA", at positions 1241 to 1531 of the family's 2925-position model. The record is from RNAcentral. Lineage: Bacteria; Pseudomonadati; Pseudomonadota; Gammaproteobacteria; Enterobacterales; Enterobacteriaceae.